UUUUGUGAUUAUGGUAUCAGAGGAAGAAUCAAUAGAGUUAAGAGCAAAAGAAUAAGCACAAAAUAUGGGAAAAUCUUAAACUUACAGUGGUUAUGGAAAGAUGACCGGUGAGAAGAGGAAGGUCAAUGAUGCCCCUAAAUGUGAUAAUCUUCUUUCGAAGUUCGACCCCGACGAAGCAACACGUCUUGAAGUUUCUUGGCUAACGAGUGGAGAUCUAGAGGCCUUGAUGGAUGAUGAUGGAGAAAGCAAAGAAGGUUUAACAUCUUGUUUGGCCUUAUUACUUGCUGUAGCAAUGUUUUUUGGUUCACUAAGGAAGAUUUAGACGCCUUGUUCGAGGAUGAUGGAGAAACCGGAGAACGUUUUACAUCUUGUUUGGUCAUAUUACUCCUAAGUGAUGCUUGCCAGUUUGCAGGCUGUAACAAA
Long non-coding RNA from Raphanus sativus (radish), 423 nucleotides. RefSeq lists it as uncharacterized. The transcript is spliced from 4 exons. NCBI's taxonomy places the organism in Eukaryota, Viridiplantae, Streptophyta, Magnoliopsida, Brassicales, Brassicaceae. The record is from RefSeq and is a predicted model, not a curated record.